Molecule: ribosomal RNA, 241 nt
Filed under: Vibrio parahaemolyticus
Lineage: Bacteria; Pseudomonadati; Pseudomonadota; Gammaproteobacteria; Vibrionales; Vibrionaceae
Description: partial 16S ribosomal RNA
Rfam family: Bacterial small subunit ribosomal RNA
Source: RNAcentral
ACGAUAACGGCGUCGAGCGGCGGACGGGUGAGUAAUGCCUAGGAAAUUGCCCUGAUGUGGGGGAUAACCAUUGGAAACGAUGGCUAAUACCGCAUGAUGCCUACGGGCCAAAGAGGGGGACCUUCGGGCCUCUCGCGUCAGGAUAUGCCUAGGUGGGAUUAGCUAGUUGGUGAGGUAAGGGCUCACCAAGGCGACGAUCCCUAGCUGGUCUGAGAGGAUGAUCAGCCACACUGGAACUGAG